AACGAACGCUGGCGGCAUGCCUAACACAUGCAAGUCGAACGAGAUCUUCGGGUCUAGUGGCGCACGGGUGCGUAACGCGUGGGAAUCUGCCGUUGGGUUCGGAAUAACAGUUGGAAGCGACUCCUAAUACCGGAUGAUGACGAAGGUACAAAGAUUUAUCGACAGAGGAUGAGCCCGCGUAGGAUUAGCUAGUUGGUGUGGUAAAGGCGCACCAAGGAGAUGAUCCUUAGCUGGUAUGAGAGGAUGAUCAGCAACACUGGGACUGAGAAACGGCCCAGACUCCUACGGGAGGCAGCAGUGAGGAAUAUUGGACAAUGGGCGAAAGCCUGAUCCAGCAAUGCCGCGUGAGUGAUGAAGGCAUUAGGGUUGUAAAGCUCAUUCCCCUGGGAUGCUAAUAACAGUACCGGGAGAAUAAGCUCCGGCUAACUACGUGCCAGCCGCCGCCGUAA
Molecule: ribosomal RNA, 449 nt
Filed under: uncultured bacterium
Lineage: Bacteria
Description: partial 16S ribosomal RNA
Rfam family: Bacterial small subunit ribosomal RNA
Source: RNAcentral